UACGGGGGGAGCAAGCGUUGUUCGGAUUUACUGGGCGUAAAGGGCGCGUAGGCGGCCACCGCAAGUCAGUUGUGAAAUCUCUGGGCUUAACCCAGAAAGGUCAACUGAUACUGCGGGGCUAGAGUGCAGAAGGGGCAACUGGAAUUCUCGGUGUAGCGGUGAAAUGCGUAGAUAUCGAGAGGAACACCUGCGGCGAAGGCGGGUUGCUGGGCUGACACUGACGCUGAGGCGCGAAAGCUAGGGGAGCGAACGGGAUGAGAUACCACAGUAGUCC
RNAcentral lists this ribosomal RNA (274 nucleotides) under uncultured bacterium. RNAcentral describes it as "partial 16S ribosomal RNA". It matches the Rfam family "Bacterial small subunit ribosomal RNA", at positions 524 to 796 of the family's 1533-position model. The record is from RNAcentral.